Molecule: ribosomal RNA, 322 nt
Filed under: uncultured eukaryote
Lineage: Eukaryota
Description: partial 18S ribosomal RNA
Rfam family: Eukaryotic small subunit ribosomal RNA
Source: RNAcentral
CCCUUAGAUGUUCUGGGCCGCACGCGUGCUACACUGAGUGGAUCAGCGGGUCAGGUUGCGCGAAAGCGUUUCCUAAUCUUUAAAUCCGCUCGUGAUGGGGAUUGACGGUUGCAAUUUUCUGUCAUGAACGAGGAAUACCUUGUAAGCGCGGGUCAUCAUCCCGCGCUGAAUACGUCCCUGCCCUUUGUACACAGCGCCCGUCGCUCCUACCGAUUGAGUGGUCCGGUGAGGCUUUGGGAUCUGAGCGGAAAGAGCGUUUCGCUGUUUCUGCUCGGAAAACUCAGUCGAACCUUAUCAUUUAGAGGAAGGAGAAGUCGUAACA